RNAcentral lists this ribosomal RNA (448 nucleotides) under uncultured Cellulomonas sp. RNAcentral's name for it is "bacterial SSU rRNA". It matches the Rfam family "Bacterial small subunit ribosomal RNA", at positions 336 to 796 of the family's 1533-position model. Lineage: Bacteria; Bacillati; Actinomycetota; Actinomycetes; Micrococcales; Cellulomonadaceae. The record is from RNAcentral.
UUCCUACGGGCGGCUGCAGUGGGGAAUAUUGCACAAUGGGCGCAAGCCUGAUGCAGCGACGCCGCGUGAGGGAUGAAGGCCUUCGGGUUGUAAACCUCUUUCAGCAGGGAAGAAGCGCAAGUGACGGUACCUGCAGAAGAAGCGCCGGCUAACUACGUGCCAGCAGCCGCGGUAAUACGUAGGGCGCAAGCGUUGUCCGGAAUUAUUGGGCGUAAAGAGCUCGUAGGCGGUCUGUCGCGUCUGCUGUGAAAACUCGAGGCUCAACCUCGGGCUUGCAGUGGGUACGGGCAGACUAGAGUGCGGUAGGGGAGACUGGAAUUCCUGGUGUAGCGGUGGAAUGCGCAGAUAUCAGGAGGAACACCGAUGGCGAAGGCAGGUCUCUGGGCCGCAACUGACGCUGAGGAGCGAAAGCAUGGGGAGCGAACAGGAUUAGAUACCCUGGUAGUCG